GACGAACGCUGGCGGCGUGCUUAACACAUGCAAGUCGAACGGAAAGGCCCUGCUUUUGUGGGGUGCUCGAGUGGCGAACGGGUGAGUAACACGUGAGUAACCUGCCCUUGACUUUGGGAUAACUUCAGGAAACUGGGGCUAAUACCGGAUAGGAGCUCCUGCUGCAUGGUGGGGGUUGGAAAGUUUCGGCGGUUGGGGAUGGACUCGCGGCUUAUCAGCUUGUUGGUGGGGUAGUGGCUACCAAGGCUUUGACGGGUAGCCGGCCUGAGAGGGUGACCGGCCACAUUGGGACUGAGAUACGGCCCAGACUCCUACGGGAGGCAGCAGUGGGGAAUAUUGCACAAUGGGCGGAAGCCUGAUGCAGCAACGCCGCGUGCGGGAUGACGGCCUUCGGGUUGUAAACCGCUUUCGCCUGUGACGAAGCGUGAGUGACGGUAAUGGAUAAAGAAGCACCGGCUAACUACGUG
Molecule: ribosomal RNA, 467 nt
Filed under: uncultured bacterium
Lineage: Bacteria
Description: partial 16S ribosomal RNA
Rfam family: Bacterial small subunit ribosomal RNA
Source: RNAcentral